GCCGGAGUGGCGGAAUGGUAGACGCUGGGGACUUAAAAUCCCUUGACCGUAUGGUCGUGUGGGUUCGAUCCCCACCUCCGGCACCA
This 86-nucleotide transfer RNA is filed under the name bacterium. RNAcentral's name for it is "tRNA-Leu". It matches the Rfam family "tRNA". From Rfam's summary of the family: Transfer RNA (tRNA) molecules are approximately 80 nucleotides in length. Their secondary structure includes four short double-helical elements and three loops (D, anti-codon, and T loops). The record is from RNAcentral.